Molecule: ribosomal RNA, 274 nt
Filed under: uncultured bacterium
Lineage: Bacteria
Description: partial 16S ribosomal RNA
Rfam family: Bacterial small subunit ribosomal RNA
Source: RNAcentral
CACGUAGGGGGCAAGCGUUGUCCGGAUUUAUUGGGCGUAAAGAGCUCGUAGGCGGUUCCGUCAGUCGGGUGUGAAAACUCUGGGCUCAACCCAGAGACGCCACCCGAUACUGCGGUGACUAGAGUCCGGUAGGGGAGCGUGGAAUUCCUGGUGUAGCGGUGAAAUGCGCAGAUAUCAGGAGGAACACCAACGGCGAAGGCAGCGCUCUGGGCCGGCACUGACGCUGAGGAGCGAAAGCGUGGGUAGCGAACAGGAUUAGAUACCCCCGUAGUCC